Molecule: ribosomal RNA, 467 nt
Filed under: uncultured bacterium
Lineage: Bacteria
Description: partial 16S ribosomal RNA
Rfam family: Bacterial small subunit ribosomal RNA
Source: RNAcentral
GACGAACGCUGGCGGCGUGCUUAACACAUGCAAGUCGAACGAUGACGACCGAGCUUGCUCGGUCUGAUUAGUGGCGAACGGGUGAGUAACACGUGAGCAACCUGCCCUUCACUCUGGGAUAACCUCGGGAAAUCGGGGCUAAUACCGGAUAUGAGCUCCUGUCGCAUGGCGGGUGUUGGAAAGUUUUUCGGUGAAGGAUGGGCUCGCGGCCUAUCAGUUUGUUGGUGCGGUAGUGGCUCACCAAGGCGAUGACGGGUAGCCGGCCUGAGAGGGCGACCGGCCACACUGGGACUGAGACACGGCCCAGACUCCUACGGGAGGCAGCAGUGGGGAAUAUUGCACAAUGGGCGAAAGCCUGAUGCAGCGACGCCGCGUGAGGGAUGACGGCCUUCGGGUUGUAAACCUCUUUCAGCAGGGAAGAAGCGAAAGUGACGGUACCUGCAGAAGAAGCGCCGGCUAACUACGUG